CCUACGGGUGGCAGCAGUGGGGGAUAUUGCACAAUGGGCGAAAGCCUGACGCAGCGACGCCGCGUGAGGGAUGAAGGUCUUCGGAUCGUAAACCUCUGUCAGCAGGGAAGAACGGUCACUGUGCUAAUCAGCAGUGAAUUGACGGUACCUGCAAAGGAAGCACCGGCUAACUCCGUGCCAGCAGCCGCGGUAAUACGGAGGGUGCGAGCGUUAAUCGGAAUUACUGGGCGUAAAGCGCGCGUAGGCGGUAUGUCAAGUCAAGGGUGAAAUCCCCGGGCUCAACGUGGGAACUGCCUUUGAAACUGGCAGACUGGAGUGUGUGAGAGGAUAGUGGAAUUCCAGGUGUAGGGGUGAAAUCCGUAGAUAUCUGGAGGAACAUCAGUGGCGAAGGCGACUAUCUGGCACAUAACUGACGCUGAGGAGCGAAAGCGUGGGUAGCAAACAGGAUUAGAUACCCUGGUAGUC
RNAcentral lists this ribosomal RNA (465 nucleotides) under uncultured bacterium. Its description in RNAcentral is "partial 16S ribosomal RNA". It matches the Rfam family "Bacterial small subunit ribosomal RNA", at positions 338 to 795 of the family's 1533-position model. The record is from RNAcentral.